GCCCUGGUGGUGUAGCCUGGCCUAUCAUCUAGGACUGUCACUCCUAGGACUCGGGUUCAAAUCCCGACCAGGGCG
RNAcentral lists this transfer RNA (75 nucleotides) under Candidatus Aenigmatarchaeota archaeon. RNAcentral describes it as "tRNA-Asp". It matches the Rfam family "tRNA". Rfam says of the family: Transfer RNA (tRNA) molecules are approximately 80 nucleotides in length. Their secondary structure includes four short double-helical elements and three loops (D, anti-codon, and T loops). Further hydrogen bonds mediate the characteristic L-shaped molecular structure. tRNAs have two regions of fundamental functional importance: the anti-codon, which is responsible for specific mRNA codon recognition, and the 3' end, to which the tRNAs corresponding amino acid is attached (by aminoacyl-tRNA synthetases). tRNAs cope with the degeneracy of the genetic code in two manners: having more than one tRNA (with a specific anti-codon) for a particular amino acid; and 'wobble' base-pairing, i.e. permitting non-standard base-pairing at the 3rd anti-codon position. Lineage: Archaea; Nanobdellati; Candidatus Aenigmatarchaeota. The record is from RNAcentral.